UCCGAGUUGACCCCGGCAGUCUCCCAUGAGUCCCCGGCAUAACCCGCUGGCAACAUAGGAUAAGGGUUGCGCUCGUUGCGGGACUUAACCCAACAUCUCACGACACGAGCUGACGACAGCCAUGCACCACCUGCACACAGGCCACAAGGGAACCGACAUCUCUGCCGGAAUCCUGUGCAUGUCAAACCCAGGUAAGGUUCUUCGCGUUGCAUCGAAUUAAUCCACAUGCUCCGCCGCUUGUGCGGGCCCCCGUCUAUUCCUUUGAGUUUUAGCCUUGCGGCCGUACUCCCCAGGUGGGAUGCUUAACGCGUUAGCUUAGGCACUGCCCCAAAGAGCGGGGCAACACCGAGCAUCCAUCGUUUACAGCAUGGACUAC
Molecule: unclassified non-coding RNA, 376 nt
Filed under: uncultured Actinomycetes bacterium
Lineage: Bacteria; Bacillati; Actinomycetota; Actinomycetes
Description: uncultured actinobacterium contains 16S-23S intergenic spacer region
Source: RNAcentral